UAGCUAGUUGGUGAGGUAAAGGCUUACCAAGGCGACGAUCUGUAGCGGGUCUGAGAGGAUGAUCCGCACACUGGAACUGAGACACGGUCCAGACUCCUACGGGAGGCAGCAGUGGGGAAUUUUGGACAAUGGGGGCAACCCUGAUCCAGCCAUGCCGCGUGAGUGAAGAAGGCCUUCGGGUUGUAAAGCUCUUUCGGCCGGGAAGAAAUCGCAUGGGCCAAUACCCUGUGUGGAUGACGGUACCGGAAUAAGAAGCACCGGCUAACUACGUGCCAGCAGCCGCGGUAAUACGUAGGGUGCGAGCGUUAAUCGGAAUUACUGGGCGUAAAGCGUGCGCAGGCGGUUUUGUAAGACAGGCGUGAAAUCCCCGGGCUUAACCUGGGAACUGCGUUUGUGACUGCAAGGCUAGAGUACGGCAGAGGGGGGUGGAAUUCCACGUGUAGCAGUGAAAUGCGUAGAGAUGUGGAGGAACACCAAUGGCGAAGGCAGCCCCCUGGGUCGAUACUGACGCUCAUGCACGAAAGCGUGGGUAGCAAACAGGAUUAGAUACCCUGGUAGUCCACGCCCUAAACUAUGUCAACUAGGUGUUGGGUGGGUAAAACCAUUUAGUACCGUAGCUAACGCGUGAAGUUGACCGCCUGGGGAGUACGGCCGCAAGGUUAAAACUCAAAGGAAUUGACGGGGACCCGCACAAGCGGUGGAUGAUGUGGAUUAAUUCGAUGCAACGCGAAAAACCUUACCUACCCUUGACAUGCCAGGAACUUGCCAGAGAUGGCUUGGUGCCCGAAAGGGAGCCUGGACACAGGUGCUGCAUGGCUGUCGUCAGCUCGUGUCGUGAGAUGUUGGGUUAAGUCCCGCAACGAGCGCAACCCUUGUCGUUAAUUGCCAUCAUUUAGUUGGGCACUUUAACGAGACUGCCGGUGACAAACCGGAGGAAGGUGGGGAUGACGUCAAGUCCUCAUGGCCCUUAUGGGUAGGGCUUCACACGUCAUACAAUGGUCGGUACAAAGGGUUGCCAAGCCGCGAGGCGGAGCCAAUCCCAGAAAGCCGAUCGUAGUCCGGAUUGCAGGCUGCAACUCGCCUGCAUGAAGUCGGAAUCGCUAGUAAUCGUGGAUCAGCAUGUCACGGUGAAUACGUUCCCGGGUCUUGUACACACCGCCCGUCACACCAUGGGAGCGGGUUCCGCCAGAAGUAGGUAGCCUAACCGCAAGGGGGGCGCUUACCACGGCGGGGUUCGUGACUGGGGUGAAGUCGUAACAAGGUAGCCGUAGGGGACCUGCGGCUG
Molecule: ribosomal RNA, 1285 nt
Filed under: metagenome
Description: bacterial SSU rRNA
Rfam family: Bacterial small subunit ribosomal RNA
Source: RNAcentral